UCUUCUCAUCUCCUUGACUCCUACUCCUACGGACCUAGAUAUAGCCGGUGCCGCCAUCCACAUGUGGUGCCGCACUGCAGCAGCCAACUCCACGGGCAGGUGGCUGGCCAGCUCCAUCUCCACAGAUCCCCCCGACUCCUCCAUCUCAGCUUUCCCAAGCACACAACAAACCACCAGUUUGUACGCGCGAGAGCGAGGUGGAGCACGACGAUGCAGCAUGCGGCAGCGCGCACGACCAGGAGUAUGGCGGCACAGAGGCGCAGCAAGGCGGGCGCAGACCACGACGAGGAGCAGGACCACGUCGUGGAGGCGAUGACUACGCCAAACAACCAACCGUUAGGCGCAAUGGAUUCUCAUGGAGCACAAGGUGGUGCUAGGGCUAUCACUGGGAAUGUUAACCUAGCUACUUCCCCAACUCAAGCUACUACUGUGAGAGCAUCACAACGUCAUGGUGGUGAUGGAUCUGUUAGAGUUGGUAAUAAAAGAAAGCUCACAUCAAUUGUGUGGGAAGGAAAUUUUGAAAAUAAAAUUAUUAAUGGGGAACCGAAAGCUGCGUGCAUGUAUUGCCAUAAACUUUUUAUAGAAAAAGGUACCAGUGGCACUUGACACUUGCUGAGUCACAUGAGCUCUUGUGGUGCUAGGCAUGCACCAAUUGGUCCAAAGCAACAAAAAGUAAGGUUGUCAAAGGUUGAUGAGGGGAAAGGCAAUUUGGAGAACAUUGUGUUUGAUCAAGAUGUUUCUAGAAAAGAGAUUGCACUAAUGAUAUGUGUUCAUGAGUACCCACUAUCUAUGGUCGAUCAUUCAGGUUUUCGGAAAUUUUGUUCCACAUUACAACCAAUGUUUAAAAUGGUCUCAAGGAAUAAUAUUAGAAAAGAAAUUCUGGGUAUGUAUGCAGCUAAGAAGGAUAAGAUUGUGAAGUAUUUGGCAAAUUUUAGAAAUCGAGUUGCCAUCACCAUGGACAUGUGGACCGCUGGACAUCAGAAAAGAGGUUACAUGGUAGUCACUCCACAUUUCAUCGAUGAGUUUUGGAAACUAAAGAGUAUUAUUUUGAGGUUUGUUUAUGUGCCUUGCCCACAUAAUGCCGAAGUCAUAUGUAAAGCACUGUAAAAGUCCCUUGUUGAGUGGAAUCUUGAGGGAAAGAUAUCGACAGUGACUCUGGACAAUUGCAGGUCAAAUGAUAAAGCAAUGUAAUAUUUGCCAGAUAUGCUGGAUUCUAGUUCUCUUAUAUUGGAGGGUAAGUACUUGCAUAUGCGUUGUGCUGCACAUAUACUUAAUUGGAUUGUGAAAGAUGGUAUGGAUGUCAUGGAGAAGAGUAUAGAACGGGUUCGUGAUAGUGUUGCAUAUUGGUCUGCUACUCCUAAGAGGCAUGAGAAAUUUGAAAAAAUGGCAUGAACUCUAAACAUUGAAUACAAGAGAAGGUUUCUUCUUGACUGUAAAACCAGAUGGAACUCAACCUACAUAAUGCUAAGCAUUGCAUUAGAAUAUAUAUAGAUAUUUUUGAAAAGCUGAAGGCUCAUGAGAAACUAUUUAGCUGAUGUCCAACCAAAGAUGAUUGGAAGAUUGCUAAGGAACUUUGUGAUAGGCUCAAGGUUUUCUAUGAUGUCACUGAGGCAUUUUCAGGCACUAAAUAUGUUACUGCAAAUUUGUUCUGUCCCAAAAUUUGUGGUAUUCAGCUGGCAAUAAAAAAAUGGUCUACCGGUGAGAAUAAGGUUGUACAAAAGAUGUCUGAGGAAAUGAAACAGAAAUUUGACAAAUAUAGGAAAGAUGUACAUGGACUUAUGUCUGUUGCAACUGUUCUUGAUCCAAGGUACAAACUUCAUAUGUUGCAAGCUCUGUUUGGUUCUCUCUAUGGAAUUGAAUAUGCAGAUGUUAAAGUUGAUGAAGUAAGGAAGUUAAUGGCUAAUCUGUUGGAGCAAUAUCGAGAAGAUGUUGAAGUUGUGGCUACAUCGGAGGCUAUGGACACUGAUGUCGCAGAAGUUGAUGGAGUUGAUGAUGUAAUGAACAUCUUUGAUCAAUAUAUGUCCUCAAAACCUACGAUUUGUGCUUCUCAAGUUCGGACAGAAUUAGACUUGUACUUGGAAGAGCAAACCAUCAAGAGAGUACCAGACAAAGAUAUGGACAUCAUAAAUUGGUGGAAAGUUGCAGGUGCAAAGUAUCCUACUUUGCAAAAGAUUGCUCAUGAUAUACUGCCUAUCCCUGUGGCAUCGGUGGCAUCAGAAUCAGCGUUUAGUACUAGUGGCAGGCUACUUAGUUCACAUCAUAGCCGACUUGUGCCAAGUAUGGCUGAAGCACUCAUGUGCAUGCAAUCUUGGUCCCGUGCUGACAUGAUAGGAUGAGUCCGAGUCUAUCAUAACUGAAGCUUAAUCGGUCAUGCGGUGAAGAAAGAAGAUGAUGCCUAGAAGAAUGCCUUGCUUCACUUAUAACCAGAAUUAUGAUAUACUUAUGUCUCCUGGCUGUAGGAAACUAAGGCUGAUAAAUUCUGUUGGGCUAUUUCUAUGCUAUUUUGUAAGAAAUUAAGACUAAAAAAAUUAUGUUGGGAUAUCCCUAUCAUCCUAUGUCAUUCUGUGAGGAACUAAGGCUGAGAAUUUUCUACUUAUGCUUAUUUGAUGUUCUAAUAUGUCAUUCUAUGAGAAUCUGAACGAUUAUUUCAUGUGGUGCCCUUCUCAGAUGUCAUUUUGUGAGAAUUUGAGUCUGUAUGUGAAUGUUGUGCCAUGUUAUGUGAUUUUCAAGGUAUUAUGUAUACGUGUUUUGGUAGGACCCGAUGGGUAUCCAUUGGAUAUGGAUAUCCAUCGGGUUUGGACAUGGACACAAUUUUUUGCCCGUG
Triticum aestivum (bread wheat) is the source of this 2824-nucleotide RNA transcript. It is a transcript of the gene named zinc finger BED domain-containing protein RICESLEEPER 2, with no coding region annotated. The transcript is spliced from 4 exons. The record is from RefSeq and is a predicted model, not a curated record. NCBI's taxonomy places the organism in Eukaryota, Viridiplantae, Streptophyta, Magnoliopsida, Poales, Poaceae.